CCUACGGGAGGCAGCAGUGGGGGAUAUUGCACAAUGGGGGGAACCCUGAUGCAGCGACGCCGCGUGGGUGAAGAAGCGCCUCGGCGCGUAAAGCCCUGUUAGCAGGGAAGAAAAUGACGGUACCUGAAGAAGAAGCCCCGGCUAACUACGGGCCAGCAGCCGCGGGAACCAGUAGGGGGCAAGCGUUAUCCGGAUUUACUGGGGGUAAAGGGGGCGCAGACGGGGAAGCAAGCCAGGAGGGAAAGCCCGGGGCCCAACCCCGGGACUGCUGUUGGAACUGCGUGGCUGGAGUGCAGGAGGGGGAGGCGGAAUUCGUGGUGUAGCGGUGAAAUGCGUAGAUAUCAGGAGGAACACCGGUGGCGAAGGCGGCCUGCUGGACUGCAACUGACGUUGAGGCCCGAAAGCGUGGGGAGCAAACAGGAUUAGAUACCCUAGUAGUC
This 440-nucleotide ribosomal RNA is filed under the name uncultured bacterium. RNAcentral describes it as "partial 16S ribosomal RNA". It matches the Rfam family "Bacterial small subunit ribosomal RNA", at positions 338 to 795 of the family's 1533-position model. The record is from RNAcentral.